UGUAGCCUACGGGGCGCAGCAGUGGGGAAUAUUGGGCAAUGGACGCAAGUCUGACCCAGCGACGCCGCGUGAAGGAAGAAGGCCUUCGGGUUGUAAACUUUAGUUAUCAGGGAAGAAACAAAUGACGGUACCUGAAGAGAAAGCCACGGCUAACUACGUGCCAGCAGCCGCGGUAAUACGUAGGUGGCGAGCGUUAUCCGGAAUUACUGGGCGUAAAGGGUGUGUAGGCGGGACUGCAAGUCAGAUGUGAAAAUUACGGGCUCAACCUGUAAACUGCAUUUGAAACUGUGGUUCUUGAGAGCCGG
Molecule: ribosomal RNA, 305 nt
Filed under: uncultured bacterium
Lineage: Bacteria
Description: bacterial SSU rRNA
Rfam family: Bacterial small subunit ribosomal RNA
Source: RNAcentral